AAAUCCGAGAAUGAGGCUAUGGAGUUGGACUCUAAGGUUGAGAACCAAUCCCUAGCAGCAUUCGUCAAAGUUUGCGGGAAGGCCUUGCACAUCACCUGAUCCGGUGCGACCUGUAAAUUCAUGACGUCCGUGUAUACGUUCAGAUGAUUGAUUGGAUCAGUGGUCCCAUCAUAUUCUUUGAUCCUAGGAUACUUAAAUCUGUCUGGCAAGGGGAAUGUUAAUAUCUCAGGAGUAAAGGGAGUGUUGGGACUGAAUCUUGUUGUCCCUUUGUUGCCCUGGAGUAGGCCCGCCGUAGUUCCUUCUUGAAUAAUCCUAGCGAGUUCCCCAGACUCCAUGGUCACUGAUCUCAAGGCCGAGGUCACCUGUGGUAUACCCGAGGCCCCUGCUCCGCCAUUGUCAGGGACAUGAGCUCGAGCUCGAGCAUCAGCCAUAAAACCCCCCUGGGGUGCCGGAUGCUAAUUUCUUUGACUUAGCAGCUGAGUCAAUGUGGCGACCUGUUGUCUGAGCUCUUCAAAGGCUCCAGUAGUGACGACUGCCGGCUGGGGCUCUGGCACUUCUGAUGAUUCCUCUUGAGGAACAGGGAUAUUCUCAAGAGGGGGUUGGUUUGGAGCGGAUGAGCUUGCGGGUGGAAGACCUGAUCGUGUGUUUACCAUGGCUUUUGGUAGCGAUUCCCACAGACGGCGCCAAUGAUGCUACCAAAAAUCGUACCUGUAGAUUUCCCGAGCUUGAUGACUGGUGAGGAGCACGAACGUGAUCUUCCGAUACCUGAAACAAAGACAACGAGGUGUGUUCUCGUCGCCCCUCCGAUGCUUAAGUCAGAAAGGGAAAUAUAUGCGUGAGGCUAUGUGCUGAAGAACAAUGAAAAAACGUACCUGAAUAAUGGCCCAAGGUUCUGCUUUUAUAGGAGUAGGUAGUGUACUCCUAGUAGGAUUGUGUUGGUUGGAUGUU
RNAcentral lists this long non-coding RNA (948 nucleotides) under Olea europaea subsp. europaea. The record is from RNAcentral. Lineage: Eukaryota; Viridiplantae; Streptophyta; Magnoliopsida; Lamiales; Oleaceae.